RNAcentral lists this ribosomal RNA (465 nucleotides) under uncultured bacterium. RNAcentral describes it as "partial 16S ribosomal RNA". It matches the Rfam family "Bacterial small subunit ribosomal RNA", at positions 338 to 795 of the family's 1533-position model. The record is from RNAcentral.
CCUACGGGUGGCAGCAGUAGGGAAUUUUCGUCAAUGGGCGCAAGCCUGAACGAGCAAUGCCGCGUGAACGAGGAAGGUCUUCGGAUCGUAAAGUUCUGUUGAAGGUGAAAAAGAGCGGAGAGAGGAAAUGAACUCCGAUUGAUAUUACCCUUCGAGGAAGUCACGGCUAACCACGUGCCAGCAGCCGCGGUAAUACGUAGGGGGCGAGCGUUAUCCGGAAUGAUUGGGCGGAAAGCGCUCGUAGGGGGUAUGUCAAAUCAAGGGGGAAAUCCCCGCGCUCAACGUGGGAACUGCCUUUGAAACUGGCAAACUGGAGUGUGUGAGAGGAUAGUGGAAUUCCAGGUGUAGGAGUGAAAUCCGUAGAUAUCUGGAGGAACAUCAGUGGCGAAGGCGACUAUCUGGCACAUAACUGACGCUGAGGAGCGAAAGCGUGGGUAGCAAACAGGAUUAGAUACCCCUGUAGUC